RNAcentral lists this long non-coding RNA (283 nucleotides) under Fukomys damarensis (Damara mole-rat). Its description in RNAcentral is "lncRNA (ENSFDAG00000032060.1)". Lineage: Eukaryota; Metazoa; Chordata; Mammalia; Rodentia; Bathyergidae. The record is from RNAcentral.
CCACUGUUCCGGGACCGGAAAUAGAGAUCCAAGGACUUCCGGGCUGCUAAAUGGAACCUCUGGCAGUUAUGGAGCCGCUGUGGAGAGGGGGAACUUCAUGAGUCAUUUUAGCCAUUUAUUAUGAAUAUGUGCUUUGAAACUAAAUGAAGGCACAUCUCUUUCAGGCAAAGAACUCUCAACCUGAAAGUCCUGACACUGUGGGGAAAAUGAAAUACGCAAAGGAGGUAAGAGAUAUGUCAGCUUUGAAUAUGUAAGCUGUCAUAUAUUUGUAAUUUUUAUGUAU